RNAcentral lists this ribosomal RNA (439 nucleotides) under uncultured bacterium. RNAcentral describes it as "partial 16S ribosomal RNA". It matches the Rfam family "Bacterial small subunit ribosomal RNA", at positions 339 to 795 of the family's 1533-position model. The record is from RNAcentral.
CUACGGGGGGCUCCAGUGGGGAAUCUUGGACAAUGGGCGCAAGCCUGAUCCAGCCAUGCCGCGUGAGUGAAGAAGGCCUUAGGGUCGUAAAGCUCUUUCGCCAGAGAUGAUAAUGACAGUAUCUGGUAAAGAAACCCCGGCUAACUCCGUGCCAGCAGCCGCGGUAAUACGGAGGGGGUUAGCGUUGUUCGGAAUUACUGGGCGUAAAGCGCGCGUAGGCGGAUUAGUCAGUCAGAGGUGAAAUCCCAGGGCUCAACCCUGGAACUGCCUUUGAUACUGCUAGUCUUGAGUUCGAGAGAGGUGAGUGGAAUUCCGAGUGUAGAGGUGAAAUUAGUAGAUAUUCGGAGGAACACCAGUGGCGAAGGCGGCUCACUGGCUCGAUACUGACGCUGAGGUGCGAAAGUGUGGGGAGCAAACAGGAUUAGAUACCCCUGUAGUC